RNAcentral lists this ribosomal RNA (1452 nucleotides) under uncultured Bordetella sp. RNAcentral's name for it is "partial 16S-23S ribosomal RNA intergenic spacer". It matches the Rfam family "Bacterial small subunit ribosomal RNA". The record is from RNAcentral. Lineage: Bacteria; Pseudomonadati; Pseudomonadota; Betaproteobacteria; Burkholderiales; Alcaligenaceae.
AGUUCGAUUCUGUCGGUCGGAACGCUGGCGGGAUGCUUUACAUGCAAGUCGAACAGCCAGCGCCUGGACUUCAGUCUGAGUGGCGAGUGGCGAACGGUGAAGUAAUGUAUCAGAACGUGCCUAAUGGCGGGGGAUAACGCAAAGCGUAGCUAAUACCGCAUACGCCCUUCGAGGAAAAGCGGGGGACCUUCGGGCCUCGCACUAUUAGAGCGGCCGAUAUCAGUUAGCUAGUUGGUGGGGUAACAGCUCAACAGGCGACGAUCAUAGCUGGUUUGAGAGGACGACCAGCCACUGGGACUGAGACACAGCCCAGACUCCUACAGGAGAACAGCAGUGAUUUUGGACAAUAGAAGCCCCGUCAAGCCAUCCGCGUGUGCGAUGAAGGCCUUCGGGUUGUAAAGCACUUUUUGGCAGGAAAGAAACGGCACGGGAUAAUACCCCAAUACAACUGACAAUGCCAUACAGAAUAAGCACCGAUUAACUACGUGCCAGCAGCGCGGUAAUACGUAAGUGCAAGCGUUAAUCGGAAUUACUGGGCGUAAAGCGUGCGCAGGCGGUUCCGGAAGGAAGAAAGAUGUGAAAUCCCAGGCUUAACUUUGGAACUGCAUUUUAACUUCGAGCUAGAGUGUGUCAGAGGAGGUGGAAUUCCGCGUGUAGCAGUGAAAUGCGUAGAUAUGCGGAGGAACACCGAUGGCGAAGGCAGCCUCCUGGGAUAACACUGACGCUCAUGCGCGAAAGCGUGGGAGCAAGCAGGAUUAGAUACCCUGGUAGUCCACGCCCUAGAAGCGAUGUCAACUGGCUAUUUGAGGCCUUCGGGCCUUGGUAAAGCGACUAACGCGUGAAGUUGACCGCCUGGGGAGUACGGUCACAAGAUUAAAACUCAAAGGAAUUGACGGAGACCUGGCGGUGGAUGAUGUGGAUUAAUUCGAUGCAACGCGAAAAACCUUACCUACCGCGCCGGUAUGUCUAAAUCCCGAAGAGAUUUAGGAGUGCUCGCAGAGAACCGGAACUGGGUGCUGCAUGGCUGUCGUCAGCUCGUGUCGUGAGAUGUUGGGUUAAGUCCGCAACGAGCGCAACCCUUGUCAUUAGUUGCUACGAAAGGGCACUCUAAUGAGACUGCCGGUGACAAACCGGAGGAAGGUGGGGAUGACGUCAAGUCCUCAUGGCCCAUAUGGGUAGGGCUUCACACGUCAUACAAUGGUCAGGACAGAGAGGUCGCCAACCCGCGAGAGGCAAUCCCAGAAACUGAUCGUAGUCCGGAUCGCAGUCUGCAACUCGGCUGGCGAGUCGGAGCUCGCUAGUAAUCGCGGAUCAGCAUGUCGCGGUGAAUACGUUCGGUCAUUGUACGCACCGCCCGUCACACCAUGGGAGUGGGUUUUACCAGAAGUAUAACCGUAAGGAGGGCGAUUACCACGGUAGGAUUCAUGACUGGGGUGAAGUCGUAACGGGUAA